GGGCCUUUAGCUUAGCUUGGUAGAGCACUCGACUGAUAAUCGAGAGGUCGCGAGUUCAAAUCUCGUAGGGCCCA
Molecule: transfer RNA, 74 nt
Filed under: Nanobdellota archaeon
Lineage: Archaea; Nanobdellati; Nanobdellota
Description: tRNA-Ile
Rfam family: tRNA
About the family: Transfer RNA (tRNA) molecules are approximately 80 nucleotides in length. Their secondary structure includes four short double-helical elements and three loops (D, anti-codon, and T loops).
Source: RNAcentral